GAAAACGCAGAAAAACCCAAGAUACAUGCUGAUCUACCCACACUUAGAUACUAUAUCUGAGAAACAUAGAAAAUACAAGAUAUAUUCACACGUGUUCUACAAAUUAACAUGACCUCUAAAAAAUAGACCACACGUGGAGUCCUGUGUCCAGUUCUGGGCAUCACAGUUUAAGAAGGAUAUUGGCAAGCUGGAACACAUGCAGUUGAGGGUAACCACGAUGAUCAAGGGUCUGGCCACCAAGCCUUAUGAGAAAUG
This is a long non-coding RNA of Lacerta agilis (Sand lizard), 255 nucleotides long. RefSeq lists it as uncharacterized. Lineage: Eukaryota; Metazoa; Chordata; Lepidosauria; Squamata; Lacertidae. The record is from RefSeq and is a predicted model, not a curated record. The transcript has 3 exons.